This 468-nucleotide ribosomal RNA is filed under the name uncultured bacterium. RNAcentral describes it as "partial 16S ribosomal RNA". It matches the Rfam family "Bacterial small subunit ribosomal RNA", at positions 28 to 507 of the family's 1533-position model. The record is from RNAcentral.
GACGAACGCUGGCGGCGUGCUUAACACAUGCAAGUCGAACGGAAAGGCCCUGCUUUUGUGGGGUGCUCGAGUGGCGAACGGGUGAGUAACACGUGAGUAACCUGCCCUUGACUUUGGGAUAACUUCAGGAAACUGGGGCUAAUACCGGAUAGGAGCUCCUGCUGCAUGGUGGGGGUUGGAAAGUUUCGGCGGUUGGGGAUGGACUCGCGGCUUAUCAGCUUGUUGGUGGGGUAGUGGCUUACCAAGGCUUUGACGGGUAGCCGGCCUGAGAGGGUGACCGGCCACAGUGGGACUGAGAUACGGCCCAGACUCCUACGGGAGGCAGCAGUGGGGAAUAUUGCACAAUGGGCGGAAGCCUGAUGCAGCAACGCCGCGUGCGGGAUGACGGCCUUCGGGUUGUAAACCGCUUUCGCCUGUGACGAAACGUGAGUGACGGUAAUGGGUAAAGAAGCACCAGCUAACUACGUG